AGGUGUGUUUUUGGCGUAACAUGCAUUAAACCAAUCAGAGAGUGUCAUCUCCCAUUCUCCUUAAAAGCCACGCGCGUUUGGACCCGUAGAGCACUGCUGUUA
Molecule: long non-coding RNA, 102 nt
Organism: Etheostoma cragini (Arkansas darter)
Lineage: Eukaryota; Metazoa; Chordata; Actinopteri; Perciformes; Percidae
Exons: 3
Source: RefSeq, a predicted model, not a curated record